AAGUCAGAGGUGAAAUCCCACAGCUCAACUGUGGAACUGCCUUUGAUACUGUUUGACUUGAGUAAGGGAGAAGUGGGUAGAAUGUGUGGUGUAGCGGUGAAAUGCAUAGAUAUCACACAGAAUACCAAUUGCGAAGGCAGAUUACUAAAUAUUUACUGACGCUCAUGGACGAAAGCGUGGGGAGCGAACAGGAUUAGAUACCCUGGUAGUCCACGCCGUAAACGAUG
Molecule: ribosomal RNA, 227 nt
Filed under: uncultured bacterium
Lineage: Bacteria
Description: partial 16S ribosomal RNA
Rfam family: Bacterial small subunit ribosomal RNA
Source: RNAcentral